RNAcentral lists this ribosomal RNA (251 nucleotides) under uncultured prokaryote. RNAcentral's name for it is "partial 16S rRNA". It matches the Rfam family "Bacterial small subunit ribosomal RNA", at positions 525 to 775 of the family's 1533-position model. The record is from RNAcentral.
ACGUAGGGGGCAAGCGUUGUUCGGAAUUACUGGGCGUAAAGGGCAUGUAGGCGGUUUAGUAAGCUUGGCGGGAAAGAUCACAGCUCAACUGUGGGGAAAAGUUGAGAACUGCUGAACUUGAGUUACGGAGAGGGAGCUAGAAUUCCUGGUGUAGGGGUGGAAUCUGUAGAGAUCAGGAAGAAUACCGAUGGCGAAGGCAAGCUUCUGGCCGUUAACUGACGCUGAGGUGCGAAAGUGUGGGGAUCAAAUCG